This 733-nucleotide ribosomal RNA is filed under the name uncultured bacterium. RNAcentral's name for it is "bacterial SSU rRNA". It matches the Rfam family "Bacterial small subunit ribosomal RNA", at positions 771 to 1501 of the family's 1533-position model. The record is from RNAcentral.
AACAGGAUUAGAUACCCUGGUAGUCCACGCCGUAAACGUUGGGCGCUAGAUGUAGGGACCUUUCCACGGUUUCUGUGUCGUAGCUAACGCAUUAAGCGCCCCGCCUGGGGAGUACGGCCGCAAGGCUAAAACUCAAAGGAAUUGACGGGGGCCCGCACAAGCGGCGGAGCAUGCGGAUUAAUUCGAUGCAACGCGAAGAACCUUACCAAGGCUUGACAUACACCGGAAACGGCCAGAGAUGGUCGCCCCCUUGUGGUCGGUGUACAGGUGGUGCAUGGUUGUCGUCAGCUCGUGUCGUGAGAUGUUGGGUUAAGUCCCGCAACGAGCGCAACCCUCGUUCUAUGCUGCCAGCGCGUUAUGGCGGGGACUCAUAGGAGACUGCCGGGGUCAACUCGGAGGAAGGUGGGGAUGACGUCAAAUCAUCAUGCCCCUUAUGUCUUGGGCUUCACGCAUGCUACAAUGGCCGGUACAAAGGGCUGCGAUACCGUAAGGUGGAGCGAAUCCCAAAAAGCCGGUCUCAGUUCGGAUUGAGGUCUGCAACUCGACCUCAUGAAGUCGGAGUCGCUAGUAAUCGCAGAUCAGCAACGCUGCGGUGAAUACGUUCCCGGGCCUUGUACACACCGCCCGUCAAGUCAUGAAAGUCGGUAACACCCGAAGCCGGUGGCCUAACCCUUGUGGAAGGAGCCGUCGAAGGUGGGAUCGGUGAUUAGGACUAAGUCGUAACAAGGUAACC